This 313-nucleotide long non-coding RNA is filed under the name Setaria italica (foxtail millet). RNAcentral's name for it is "long non-coding RNA (SITA_LNC005122)". Lineage: Eukaryota; Viridiplantae; Streptophyta; Magnoliopsida; Poales; Poaceae. The record is from RNAcentral.
UUAGCGGUAGCCUCUGGCUCCUCCUCCCUACGUGCUUCUUCGAAGUGUGCUUCAUGAUAGUCAUUUAACAUGUCUCCCACCCCGGCAUCAUCAUCAAAUUCCUCGAUGCGUUGUCUCAAGACCUCCUCUCUCCCACGGUCAGAUUCACCAUGGUAGAUCCACCUGGUAUAGUCUGACGUAAAUCCGUUCUUCACCAGAUGUUUGCCCAUGUCUAGCUUGGUUUGCCGACGCAUGUUUCCACAUUUGCUGCACGGACACCAAGUCGAUCGAGCUCCAUUGACACUUGCAAACGCCCGUUCCAAGAAAGCAUCCG